Molecule: ribosomal RNA, 468 nt
Filed under: uncultured bacterium
Lineage: Bacteria
Description: partial 16S ribosomal RNA
Rfam family: Bacterial small subunit ribosomal RNA
Source: RNAcentral
GACGAACGCUGGCGGCGUGCUUAACACAUGCAAGUCGAACGGAAAGGCCCUGCUUUUGUGGGUUGCUCGAUUGGCGAACGGGUGAGUAACACGUGAGUAACCUGCCCUUGACUUUGGGAUAACUUCAGGAAACUGGGGCUAAUACCGGAUAGGAUCUCCUGCUGCAUGGUGGGGGUUGGAAAGUUUCGGCGGUUGUGGAUGGACUCGCGGCUUAUCAGCUUGUUGGUGGGGUAGUGGCUUACCAAGGCUUUGACGGGUAGCCGGCCUGAGAGGGUGACCGGCCACAUUGGGACUGAGAUAGGGCCCAGACUCCUACGGGAGGCAGCAGUGGGGAAUAUUGCACAAUGGGCGGAAGCCUGAUGCAGCAACGCCGCGUGCGGGAUGACGGCCUUCGGGUUGUAAACCGCUUUCGCAUGUGACGAAGCGUGAGUGACGGUAAUGGGUAAAGAAGCACCGGCUAACUACGUG